CCUACGGGAGGCAGCAGUGGGGAAUUGUUCGCAAUGGGCGCAAGCCUGACGACGCAACGCCGCGUGGAGGAUGAAGGUCUUCGGAUUGUAAACUCCUGUUGAUCGGGAAGAACGGGCUCCGGAUGAAUACUCCGGAGCAGUGACGGUACCGAUUGAGGAAGCCACGGCUAACUCUGUGCCAGCAGCCGCGGUAAUACAGAGGUGGCAAGCGUUGUUCGGAAUUACUGGGCGUAAAGGGCGCGUAGGCGGCCUUGUCAGUCAGACGUGAAAUCCCCAGGCUUAACCUGGGAACUGCGUCUGAUACUACAAGGCUGGAGUUCGGGAGAGGAAUGUGGAAUUCCAGGUGUAGCGGUGAAAUGCGUAGAUAUCUGGAGGAACACCGGUGGCGAAGGCGGCAUUCUGGACCGAAACUGACGCUGAGGCGCGAAAGCCAGGGGAGCAAACGGGAUUAGAUACCCCGGUAGUCCUGGCCCUAAACGAUGAGUGCUUGGUGUGGCGGGUAUCGAUCCCUGCUGUGCCGAAGCUAACGCAUUAAGCACUCCGCCUGGGGAGUACGGUCGCAAGGCUGAAACUUAAAGGAAUUGACGG
This 588-nucleotide ribosomal RNA is filed under the name uncultured bacterium. RNAcentral describes it as "bacterial SSU rRNA". It matches the Rfam family "Bacterial small subunit ribosomal RNA", at positions 338 to 916 of the family's 1533-position model. The record is from RNAcentral.